This is a long non-coding RNA of Dreissena polymorpha, 420 nucleotides long. RefSeq lists it as uncharacterized. The record is from RefSeq and is a predicted model, not a curated record. NCBI's taxonomy places the organism in Eukaryota, Metazoa, Mollusca, Bivalvia, Myida, Dreissenidae. The transcript has 3 exons.
CAAAGCCUUGGGCGGAAGUUAUUAUGGGGAAGGCACAGGGGAUAUAGUAGUGGACGAAAUGCGUUGUAUUGGUUACGAAAAUGACAUUUCUGAAUGUAAAUCGAGCGACUGGAUGUCUCCAUCGAAUUGCAAUCACAUGGAAGAUGCAUCGGUUGAAUGCAAAACGGAAGUUCGUUUAUCAGAUGGACCCACCAGAUAUGCAGGUCGACUUGAAAUACAGAAUAAUUCUGUUUGGGAAACAGUUUGUUCUGACCUCGUAGAUAACAAGACGGCAGUGGUCGUGUGCAGGAUGCUAGGGUUUGAAGGAGGUAACAUAACUGUUUAUUACGAUGGCCGUUUCAAAAAUGGUAGCGGAUCGAUGAAAUCGCAUGGAUACGACUGUGAAGGGAACGAGACCGAUAUUGCGAAUUGGAAAUCAAC